Molecule: ribosomal RNA, 554 nt
Filed under: Salmonella enterica subsp. enterica serovar Anatum
Lineage: Bacteria; Pseudomonadati; Pseudomonadota; Gammaproteobacteria; Enterobacterales; Enterobacteriaceae
Description: partial 23S ribosomal RNA
Rfam family: Bacterial large subunit ribosomal RNA
Source: RNAcentral
CCGACCUUGAAAUACCACCCUUUAAUGUUUGAUGUUCUAACGUGGACCCGUAAUCCGGGUUGCGGACAGUGUCUGGUGGGUAGUUUGACUGGGGCGGUCUCCUCCUAAAGAGUAACGGAGGAGCACGAAGGUUGGCUAAUCCUGGUCGGACAUCAGGAGGUUAGUGCAAUGGCAUAAGCCAGCUUGACUGCGAGCGUGACGGCGCGAGCAGGUGCGAAAGCAGGUCAUAGUGAUCCGGUGGUUCUGAAUGGAAGGGCCAUCGCUCAACGGAUAAAAGGUACUCCGGGGAUAACAGGCUGAUACCGCCCAAGAGUUCAUAUCGACGGCGGUGUUUGGCACCUCGAUGUCGGCUCAUCACAUCCUGGGGCUGAAGUAGGUCCCAAGGGUAUGGCUGUUCGCCAUUUAAAGUGGUACGCGAGCUGGGUUUAGAACGUCGUGAGACAGUUCGGUCCCUAUCUGCCGUGGGCGCUGGAGAACUGAGGGGGGCUGCUCCUAGUACGAGAGGACCGGAGUGGACGCAUCACUGGUGUUCGGGUUGUCAUGCCAAUGGCACU